This 1938-nucleotide long non-coding RNA is filed under the name Numida meleagris (helmeted guineafowl). RNAcentral's name for it is "lncRNA (ENSNMEG00000000426.1)". Lineage: Eukaryota; Metazoa; Chordata; Aves; Galliformes; Numididae. The record is from RNAcentral.
AUUUAUUCAAGCAUUAAAAAAUAUACCAAUACGGAUCCCAAGUGGAAUUUAGUUAUGUAAGGACACCAGAAUCUGAUGAGAGUGAUGACCUACAGAUUGCCUAGACUCCAUCUGAGUUCACUUCUGGAAAGAGUAGGUGGAAGCUGUAACAUUAACAGUCCUUUUUUCUCAAAUGUGGAAAAUUGCUGACUUCCUUCCCUUUCAUGACACAAAAAGGAUUGAGUAGCAAUGUUCCUUAUGGUGAACUCUAUCCUUAGGAUUGGUCAGAUACAUUUUGUUUCGAUAAGAAUGUAUUAAUAAUGGUUUGAUCUUUCAGUUGAUAGCUAUUUUCAGAGGGGAAGAAAAUAACACAAUGCUUUAUAGUCUCUCUAAUGAGGUAGAUAGUGUCAGAUCUUCUAGUCUAGUUCAUUGAGAUAAUCUCUGGCUGUUUUUUUUUUUUUUUUCAUUCAUUACAUAUUAUCUAUGAACUAAAUAAACUCCAUUUUCUUUUCCAUACAGAUUCCAGUCGCUCAUCCAGUUGCUCUCGGACUCAUUAAUGUGAGUGGGAAACACAGUGAACUUGAUUGAAUAUAAAACCAAGAGUGAGAGCAGAAAGCAGAGGGUUGACUCAGCCAUACUAGAGUUGGAAAAGUCUGGUCUGGUUCUCUGCAUCAUGGACAUGGACAUGGAAGUGGAGUCUCUAGAGAAGUAACAUCUGCAUGGUGCUAUGUUCUACUGCUUUUCACCUUCCUAGGCUCAGCAGGUCCCUGCCUCAAGGGUCUACCCACUGCACUGCACUACAUCCUGCACGUACUGAGCCCUGCAGCCAUCCUAUCCAGCAGCAUGCAUGUAACUGGUUGAGCUUUGCCAACAACAGAUGUAUUGGAAAUUCCUUAAGGGAAAACAACCCUCCUGGAGCCCUGUGUUGUAUGCAUACCUUUGCACAUGACAGAGUCUGAGCUUCCACUUUCUUCCUGUUUUACUUCAUAUUGCUCUCUUCAAAGCUAUUUCAUGGUAAAAACAUCGAGAAAACCUUGUUAUGGUAUCAGUAUAUAACCAGGGAGAUAUUCUACCUAAAAUUCUGCCUGCUUCCCAGUCAAAUCUUCAGUCAUUUCUUUGUUUUUCUUUCACUGACUUUUUUUUUUUUUUUAAAUUAGGGAAAACAUUAAAAAGGAAGAGUUUAGGAAAUUCAGUUUGUGUUAGGACAGUUAAGUUAGAACACUUAUUGUUCAGUAACUAGGAGUUACAGUUGCAACUGUAAGUUGUAACAGCUAAGAUACACAUCACUGAUAAGGGCUUUGUAUAGGCAAAACAAUUCAAUCCCCUAUCCUUUACAGCUCCCAGGUCUGCUGACCACAGGGCAGCCUCCCAGUGCUGUGAAGGCCCAUUCAGCUGCCUGCGGUGUUAAGGCUUGUUCUGCCAGCGGCAUCCCAUAUGGGAUCCAUCAUGAGAAUGGGGAAGGGGAGGAACAGGGCUGGGGGUUACUUAGGCAACGGUCAUGCCAGAUCAUAAAUGGCAAACUGUUUUUGAGAAAUGAUUUGGCUUGAGAUCUAGUGCUGAACAGAGAUAACAGAAUAUCAAUUUUUCUUAAUAGAAAAAAAGGCAGUGACAAAAAAGUUGAAACAAAUAGGAGCAAUUUUACUGUAGUGUACAUCCUCCCUCCCAGUUUUAGGAGUCCUAUACCACAUUUGUGAUUUACAGCUGAAGCUUUCACAGCGAAGUGGGAGACAUGAGCAUCCAUCAGUUCUAGUGAAAGUGCAUCCAAGCUCCUGAUAAGAUUCUAAACAAACUUCACCCCACAACUCAUAACUAAAAUAGACGAAGGAGCAGCUUUAGUAAAAGUGUCAUACCAUGGAUGACAAAGUAGGGAAAAUAUAAAGCAAGCGUCACGUUUCUCUGUAAUGUCUGUGUGUAAUACAAGACUCUGAGGAGGAUGCACACAAUGCCACCUGUUUACAA